GAUGAACGCUAGCUACAGGCUUAACACAUGCAAGUCGAGGGGCAGCAUGGUCUUAGCUUGCUAAGGCCGAUGGCGACCGGCGCACGGGUGAGUAACACGUAUCCAACCUGCCGUCUACUCUUGGACAGCCUUCUGAAAGGAAGAUUUAUACAAGAUGGCAUCAUGAGUCCGCAUGUUCACAUGAUUAAAGGUAUUCCGGUAGACGAUGGGGAUGCGUUCCAUUAGAUAGUAGGCGGGGUAACGGCCCACCUAGUCUUCGAUGGAUAGGGGUUCUGAGAGGAAGGUCCCCCACAUUGGAACUGAGACACGGUCCAAACUCCUACGGGAGGCAGCAGUGAGGAAUAUUGGUCAAUGGGCGCAGGCCUGAACCAGCCAAGUAGCGUGAAGGAUGACUGCCCUAUGGGUUGUAAACUUCUUUUAUAAAGGAAUAAAGUCGGGUGUGGAUACCCGUUUGCAUGUACUUGAUGAAUAAGGAUCGGCUAACUCCGUG
This 490-nucleotide ribosomal RNA is filed under the name uncultured bacterium. Its description in RNAcentral is "partial 16S ribosomal RNA". It matches the Rfam family "Bacterial small subunit ribosomal RNA", at positions 28 to 507 of the family's 1533-position model. The record is from RNAcentral.